GACGAACGCUGGCGGCGUGCUUAACACAUGCAAGUCGAACGGUGAAGGGGUCUGCUUUUGUGGGCCCUGGAUGAGUGGCGAACGGGUGAGUAACACGUGAGUAACCUGCCCCCUUCUUCUGGAUAACCGCAUGAAAGUGUGGCUAAUACGGGAUAUUCUGGGUCUGUCGCAUGAUGGGUCUGGGAAAGAUUGCGCCUUUGGGUGUUUUUGGUGGGGGAUGGGCUCGCGGGCUAUCAGCUUGUUGGUGGGGUGAUGGCCUACCAAGGCGGUGACGGGUAGCCGGCCUGAGAGGGGGGACGGUCACACUGGGACUGAGACACGGCCCAGACUCCUACGGGAGGCAGCAGUGGGGAAUAUUGCACAAUGGGCGCAAGCCUGAUGCAGCGACGCCGCGUGAGGGAUGGAGGCCUUCGGGUUGUAAACCUCUUUCGCCAGUGAAGCAGGCCUGCUCCUUGUGGGUGGGUUGACGGUAGCUGGAUAAGAAGCGCCGGCUAACUACGUG
Molecule: ribosomal RNA, 502 nt
Filed under: uncultured bacterium
Lineage: Bacteria
Description: partial 16S ribosomal RNA
Rfam family: Bacterial small subunit ribosomal RNA
Source: RNAcentral